RNAcentral lists this long non-coding RNA (2335 nucleotides) under Gopherus agassizii (Agassiz's desert tortoise). RNAcentral describes it as "lncRNA (ENSGAGG00000004180.1)". Lineage: Eukaryota; Metazoa; Chordata; Testudines; Testudinidae. The record is from RNAcentral.
GAGAAAUGUAACCUUAAAAUCCCUUUGUGUUGCUAAUUGCAUUCUUUUAUUCUCUUUCCUUAAGCCCCGUGAAGAAAAUACUCUGAAGACAAUGGAGCUGUGACAUUCUAUGUCAACUUGCCAACUGGAACUAUGGAAAUUUUAGAAGAUUGCCAGCACACUCACACUGGGCUGGUGCCAAAUGGAUACAUGAACAAGAUUUUUCAAGCCAAUCCAGAGGAUGGGAGCACUGAGACACUAAAGAUUUGUGACCUUCAGCACUGCAACUCCAGAGGCAUCAACCAAAAUGCAAGGGAAGAGGCAGCCAGGUAUAAGAAGAAAGCCAAGGGCAACCGGAUUUGGAAUUUUGUUAGCCGAAGGAAAGGUCCCUCCAUGAAUAACAAAAGACCCCAGUCCAUGAUCCUGCUAGGAGAGACCUCAGAGACCUUAGAAGAAAAACACAAGAUGUCCUUCAUGGAGAGGGUGAGGUCCUUUAAAAAGCUAAGAACCUCCAGCAUGUCUAAAAAUGUGGAUUUGAGACCCUCCAAAGCCAAAGUUUCUUGCAUCCCUGAGGAGGACCAGGAGGACAGUGACCAAAGGGCAGUCUACAGGAUUAAGAAACUAGCUGACAGUCAGAGGCCUUUCCGUCAUUCGUAUGCAGGGUACAUCGAUGAUUUGGAUUCUUCCUUUGAAGACGUAGAGUUAAAUGUCAGCAUUCCAGAAAUUGAUGCCAAUGAAAAUAAAUGGCUCAGGGAUAUUAGUGUCAGAAUACACAGUGAAGAUAAUGAUAGUAACUGCCAUAAAAUGUCAGUUAGAAAGAGCAAGCUUUUGAAUUUUGAAAACUCUGAGAGUUCUGUGAUUACACAAAGGGACAAUCAAAGGAGGUGUCCCACGCUUCCCGAGGAGAACAGGAGAGGAAAAAACUCUGAUGUCUGGAGCUACCUGAAGGGAAUUUCAUUGUCUAGCAAAGAUAAUUCAAAGUUGCUCAGUCGAAGUGUUGAAACAAAUUUCCAGAACUUAGAAGAUAUAACUGAUAAUUCUGCUUCUUAUUUUAACUUUGAUAUGAGAUGUGAGGAGAAUCUUAGCCAGCCUAAAAAAUCAAACAGUGAAAUGAAAGUCAGUCACUUUGGUGGUGUUCUUCGGUUCUUUAACAGUGUGGCUGAGGCAGCUAGGAAGUGGCGAGGCUCUUCCCGGACGUUUCCGCAGGGAGAGCAAAGACCUCAGUCCAAUUUCAGAAGUCAAAGGCAGGAAGCCUCCUUCCACAAAGAGUCUUUGGUUAUUGAGAAUGAAAAUGCCAGAGCUUUCUCUUCAACGGGAAUGUCAUUGCGGUCUCCAGAUUCUGGGAUUUGGGAUAAUCAUAGUUCUGAGAGUUCAACAGGAAAAGUGCUGCCUCAGCGAAGUGUUGAAGCAGAGUUGUCUCAAGAGAUCAGCAGCUCUGCUCUGAACAAUGAGAAUGAUAGUUUUAACGAACUUUCUGACCUUGGGCCAAGUCCAUCCAUCUCCCCACUGCCAGAACUUCCAGAUGACCAUUAUGCUCCAUUAAGCACACAAGGCUCAUUUAAGGCUCUAUCACAGUUUCCAGACAUGCCUGUGACUGAAUUAGAUGCUCGGGACCCGGGCAGCUCUCCGGCAGCGGAUGCUCGGGACCAGGGCAGCUCUCCGGUGGCAGAUGCUCGGGACCAGGGCAGCUCUCUGGCGGCGGAUGCUUGGGAACUUGGAAAUAUUGAGUUACAUUUGAAAGACGAGGCUAAGACUAAACUGGGUAUUCAGGAACUAAGUAGCACUCAAAACUAUGUUGAGGACACUAGGAGUACUCCAGUGGAUAUUCAGGACCUGGACAAGACUCAAUCACAUUCUCAAGAUCUUUCUAAGAGUAAAUUGGAUACUCAGGACCCAGAGAGUGUUCUGACUGGUACUCAAGGCCUCUUUGCAGUUACUCUUUUAAAACAUGCAACAGAUAAUGAGCAAGCUUUAGAACUGGAGGAUUCUCCUAUCAAAGAACAUGAAAUAAGUUUACCAGUAGAACAAAUUUCCAUGGAGAGGCCAGACAAAGCAAGUCACUUUAAGUAUAGUAAAGUGUGCCAUCAGAUCCAGAUGAGCCUCUGUACAAUUGUCUCCUUUGGGGAACUCAACAAUGGAAAGCCCCUGUCUCACCCUCUUCAUCCAUCACCACAAGCACCUCCUUUCAAAAUCCUUUUGGACAGAUGUCGCUCCUUACCCCUUUCCCAAAGCACUCCGAUGGGGCUGGACCAACUGGGCUGGAGGAGGCGGCUGUUGCUGAGCACUGGUGGUGAGUCACCUUUCAUUUGACUACUCAGACUUGCCUUUUAACCAAAGCAGCAAGGGCAGCAUUGGG